CUACGGGUGGCAGCAGUGGGGAGUAUUGGACAAUGGGGGAAACCCUGAUCCAGCAAUGCCGCGUGUGUGAAGAAGGCCUGCGGGUUGUAAAGCACUUUCGGUUGGGAGGACUGCUUCUAGCACUAAUAUUGUUGGAAGUUGACGUUACCUUCAGAAGAAGCACCGGCUAACUCCGUGCCAGCAGCUGCGGUAAUACGGAGGGUGCAAGCGUUAAUCGGAAUUACUGGGCGUAAAGCGCGCGUAGGCGGCUAGAUCAGUCGGGUGUGAAAGCCCCGGGCUUAACCUGGGAACUGCAUCCGAUACUGUCUAGCUUGAGUACAGGAGAGGAGAGUGGAAUUCCACAUGUAGCGGUGAAAUGCGUAGAUAUGUGGAGGAACACCAAUGGCGAAGGCAGCUCUCUGGCCUGAUACUGACGCUGAGGUGCGAAAGCGUGGGGAGCAAACAGGAUUAGAUACCCCAGUAGUC
This 465-nucleotide ribosomal RNA is filed under the name uncultured bacterium. RNAcentral's name for it is "partial 16S ribosomal RNA". It matches the Rfam family "Bacterial small subunit ribosomal RNA", at positions 339 to 795 of the family's 1533-position model. The record is from RNAcentral.